This is a long non-coding RNA of Pollicipes pollicipes, 208 nucleotides long. RefSeq lists it as uncharacterized. The transcript is spliced from 3 exons. NCBI's taxonomy places the organism in Eukaryota, Metazoa, Arthropoda, Thecostraca, Pollicipedomorpha, Pollicipedidae. The record is from RefSeq and is a predicted model, not a curated record.
UUGUGUACGACGCCGACGUCGAAUACCUGGAGAACCAGUGUGCACCCGACCCGCCCAACUGCGAGUACCGGGAUGUUGAGAGCCGGUUCCUGCCCUUCGUGGACCGCAUGAUCGCGCGGGUCGCCAACAAAGCCGAGUGUAUGCGCAGCUGUGACGUGGAGCUCGACUUCAAGUGCCGCAGCUACAACUACAACGACCGGCGGCGGGG